GACGAACGCUGGCGGCGUGCUUAACACAUGCAAGUCGAACGGAAAGGCCCUGCUUUUGUGGGGUGCUCGAGUGGCGAACGGGUGAGUAACACGUGAGUAACCUGCCCUUGACUUUGGGAUAACUUCAGGAAACUGGGGCUAAUACCGGAUAGGAGCUCCUGCUGCAUGGUGGGGGUUGGAAAGUUUCGGCGGUUGGGGCUGGUCUCGCGGCUUAUCAGCUUGUUGGUGGGGUAGUGGCUUACAAAGGCUUUGACGGGUAGCCGGCCUGAGAGGGUGACCGGCCACAUUGGGACAGAGAUGCGGCCCGGACGCCUACGGGAGGCAGCAGUGGGGAAUAUUGCACAAUGGGCGGAAGCCUGAUGCAGCAACGCCGGAUGCGGGAUGACGGCCUUCGGGUUGUAAACCGCUUUCGCCUGUGACGAAGCGUGAGGGACGGUAAUGGGUAAAGAAGCACCGGCUAACUACGU
RNAcentral lists this ribosomal RNA (467 nucleotides) under uncultured bacterium. RNAcentral's name for it is "partial 16S ribosomal RNA". It matches the Rfam family "Bacterial small subunit ribosomal RNA", at positions 28 to 506 of the family's 1533-position model. The record is from RNAcentral.